UGUACCCAUCAUUCCUAUAUCCAUUUCCUCAGCCCACACCACACUUCUGUUCUUUGGACCUUACAGUCAACUGCUUCCUGAACAUUUCUACUUAUACCAAGCUGGUACCUCAAUUUAAGGUACCCCAAACUGGACUUAUCAUCAACCCCACAUCACAAACCUGUUUCAAUUGCUGUCCUUCCUAUGUUGGGGACUGGAGCCACCAUCCACUCGACUGAUCAGGUACCAGACCAGCAGAUAAGCCAAAGGGUAACAGAAUGGAGAAAACAGCAUGGUUGACAUCACAUUAACAGCUCCACCAAAGGAAAUCAGGUCAGCAACUCCAGUGCUAUAUAUUAGACUUUGGCAGAGGAACCACCAGUCCGAGGCGAAAUACACAUACAGAAAAUCAUACCAGACCAGAGUGGGAGGGAAGAUGCUUAAUUCCGAAACAAGAAGACUCCCAUGAAGUCAAAAAACAGGACUUUUCAGGACAACUAAAUCAUCCUUUUUCCUACAGCAAAUAAUCUCCAAUACAUUCUGCCCACUGUGAGACCUACCUCUUACUGCAGCUAUGCGAAUCCAGACUUUUGCUACCUCCUCCAAUGACCCAUAACCCUUUCCAUGGCCCCUUGACUGUCAAAGGUAAGGAGCCUGAGAAUGACCUCGUGAUACCACAUCUUCACCAGCUGUGCAAAUUCCACAUCUUCUCUACAAUUCUGAGAGAGGAUAAGCAUCUGAUCCAGGGAGUAGGAACAGUUCCAGCUGGCAGAAAAAAAAACCCAAGAAACCACUGACUCUAUCAACAGUUAAACAAAAUAGGCAGAAUUUUAAUAAUCCAUCAUAAUUCCAUGUGAUAUCAAUUUAACAAAUACCUUUCUAACAAACAGUUAGAAAGCACUGCUUGGUGAUAAUGGGUACAUAAGAGAAACUUAAAACCUGGACCUGAUGAUGUGAAUUCAGCAAACAAGUCCGAAAAGAGUUUUGGAACCACUGGUUAAUAAAGUAAUACAAAAAUGAAGAAAUUAUAUGUUUGGGCGAGGCUACAAAUCCUACACCAGAUAC
Molecule: long non-coding RNA, 1044 nt
Organism: Artibeus jamaicensis (Jamaican fruit-eating bat)
Lineage: Eukaryota; Metazoa; Chordata; Mammalia; Chiroptera; Phyllostomidae
Exons: 4
Source: RefSeq, a predicted model, not a curated record